RNAcentral lists this long non-coding RNA (564 nucleotides) under Felis catus (domestic cat). RNAcentral's name for it is "lncRNA (ENSFCAG00000048871.1)". Lineage: Eukaryota; Metazoa; Chordata; Mammalia; Carnivora; Felidae. The record is from RNAcentral.
UCUCCAAACAAACUCCCAUUUUGAUGUUCUGGAUGGACAUACGUUUUAGGGACACCAAACUACUAGAACCCCUUAUUGCCUGUGACCCCAGAUAAAUCAUGAGAUGACAAAGAAACAGAGCACUUUUAGCUAGGAAUGUGAUGAUACGCAAUGUCUUCGGCAAGAAGAGAAAAUAAGGAGACUGAUCAAAAUCUGAAAUCACAAUCUCAGCCACACCUUCACAGAGCAGGAAGUGUUGGAUUAAUGGGAACCAGGAAGCCAUCAUGCCCAGAAGACCACAGCAGAGAUGCAUUGAAAAGCUGGCAGCUGAUGAAUAGAUGAGGUUCCCGGCAUUUUUCCCAGGUGGGCAGGUGGGCUUGAGGUGUACCUAUGGCCAUACCCAAGCCUUUUGUCUAUAAAUCACCAUGGAUGUGCAGAGAGUUAGGUAUUUAAGUCUACGCAUUAACUGAAUUCACUUAAAGAUCUUACUACUAAUUUUUUUUUUUAUGGUUAAAACCAGAUGUACUGUAAGUGCAAUGUAAGUUUUAUGUUUAAAUGGAAAGUCAUCAUUGAUUAAGGAAAAUC